UUAGUCGUAUUUUAAAUUAACAUAAUUUCUUGAGAAUUGCCUUAGAAAAAAGUUAAUAAGUAUUUGUGUUAACAUGUGAAGAAGAAAUGAAUAAUAAAUAUUAAUUUAUUUUAAAUAUAUUUACAAAUAUGAUACAAACGCAAGGCUAUCAGUGUAUCUAUCCUUUAUUUGGAGCAGAUACGCUAUUAAUGAUGAUUUGGUGCAGACAACAUCCAAAAAACAAGUGACCAUGCAUUGAACUGCAAUCUACAUUUCUACAUAAUUUCCUAUUUAUUUAAUUCAAACAAUAAAUAUACUAAAAAAUG
Molecule: long non-coding RNA, 305 nt
Organism: Vanessa tameamea
Lineage: Eukaryota; Metazoa; Arthropoda; Insecta; Lepidoptera; Nymphalidae
Exons: 2
Source: RefSeq, a predicted model, not a curated record